UAAUCUUUUAUUGAAUGAGUUACUUAAGAUUGAGGAAUCAAUGUACUCCUCUAUGGAUUGUGAUAUUAGGUUCAUGAGAGGGAUAAAGUAGCAGACUGUAACAGUGUGAUAUUUUAUUCAAUUCAUUAUAUUUAAUAGCAAAAGUACAUUAGAGAUGUUGAUCUUUUUAUAAAAGAAGAAGGAUUUAAUCGACCCGUCUUGUAACACGGACCAAGGAGUCUAACAUGUAUGCGAGUAAAACUGAGUUUUGAAACUCAUCAUGCAAAAUAGAAGUAAAUUAUGGUAGGAAUAGCUUCACAAGGGGCGUAAGCACUAUCAACCGACUUGGAUGGGGCGAACCUCUGAAAGGAUUGAGUAAGAGCAUUUAUGUUAGGACCCGAAAGAUGGUGAACUAUGCCUGAGUAGGGCAAAAGUCAGAGGAAACUCUGAUGGAGGCUCGAAGGGGUUCUGACGUGGCAAAUCGAUCUUCAAACUUGGGUAUAGGGG
This 486-nucleotide ribosomal RNA is filed under the name uncultured eukaryote. RNAcentral describes it as "eukaryotic LSU rRNA". It matches the Rfam family "Eukaryotic large subunit ribosomal RNA", at positions 448 to 923 of the family's 3401-position model. The record is from RNAcentral.